GAGUGGCGAACGGGUGAGUAAUAUAUCGGAACGUGCCCUAGAGUGGGGGAUAACUAGUCGAAAGACUAGCUAAUACCGCAUACGAUCUACGGAUGAAAGUGGGGGAUCGCAAGACCUCAUGCUCGUGGAGCGGCCGAUAUCUGAUUAGCUAGUUGGUAGGGUAAAAGCCUACCAAGGCAUCGAUCAGUAGCUGGUCUGAGAGGACGACCAGCCACACUGGGACUGAGACACGGCCCAGACUCCUACGGGAGGCAGCAGUGGGGAUUUUGGACAAUGGGGGCAACCCUGAUCCAGCAAUGCCGCGUGAGUGAAGAAGGCUUCGGGUUGUAAAGCUCUUUUGUCAGGGAAGAAACG
This 354-nucleotide ribosomal RNA is filed under the name uncultured bacterium. RNAcentral describes it as "bacterial SSU rRNA". It matches the Rfam family "Bacterial small subunit ribosomal RNA", at positions 93 to 452 of the family's 1533-position model. The record is from RNAcentral.